Molecule: ribosomal RNA, 253 nt
Filed under: uncultured bacterium
Lineage: Bacteria
Description: partial 16S ribosomal RNA
Rfam family: Bacterial small subunit ribosomal RNA
Source: RNAcentral
UACGUAGGGACCAAGCGUUGUUCGGAUUUACUGGGCGUAAAGGGCGCGUAGGCGGCAAUUCAAGUCAUCUGUGAAAUCUCCGGGCUUAACUCGGAACGGUCAGAUGAUACUGCUUUGCUAGAGUACAGAAGGGGCAAUCGGAAUUCUUGGUGUAGCGGUGAAAUGCGUAGAUAUCAAGAGGAACACCUGAGGUGAAGACGGGUUGCUGGGCUGACACUGACGCUGAGGCGCGAAAGCCAGGGGAGCAAACGGG